Molecule: ribosomal RNA, 393 nt
Filed under: uncultured bacterium
Lineage: Bacteria
Description: partial 16S ribosomal RNA
Rfam family: Bacterial small subunit ribosomal RNA
Source: RNAcentral
AUACGGAGGAUGCAAGCGUUAUCCGGAUUUAUUGGGUUUAAAGGGUGCGUAGGCGGUUUGCUAAGCGGGAGGUGAAAUGCCGGCGCUCAACGUCGGAAGUGCCUCCCGAACUGGUGGACUGGAAUGACUCUGCCGUGGGAGGAAUGUGUAGUGUAGCGGUGAAAUGCUUAGAGAUUACACAGAACACCGAUUGCGAAGGCAUCUCACGAAGGGUUGAUUGACGCUGAGGCACGAAAGCGUGGGGAUCAAACAGGAUUAGAUUCCCUGGUAGUCCACGCAGUAAACGAUGAUGGCUAACCGCUGGUUUUUUCGGAUCAGUGGCCAAGCGAAAGCGAUAAGCCAUCCACCUGGGGAGUACGACCGCAAGGUUGAAACUCAAAGGAAUUGACGGGG